GAUUAACGCUGGCGGCGUGCAUAACACAUGCAAGUCGAACGAUGAAACUUAAAUGAUUUCUUCGGAAUGAACUUAAGUGGAUUAGUGGCGGACGGGUGAGUAACGCGUGAGUAACCUGCCUUACACAAGGGGAUAGCCGUUGGAAACGACGAAUAAUACCCUAUGAAACUAUCACUUCGCAUGAAGCGAUAGUCAAAGUGUUAGCGGUGUAAGAUGGACUUGCGUCUGAUUAGCUAGUUGGUGAGAAAAAAGCCCACCAAGGCAACGAUCAGUAGCCGGCUUGAGAGAGUGUACGGCCACAUUGGGACUGAGACACGGCCCAGACCCCUACGGGAGGCAGCAGUGGGGAAUUUUGCACAAUGGGGGAAACCCUGAUGCAGCGACGCCGCGUGAUUUAGAAGGCCUUCGGGUUGUAAAAAUCUUUUGUAUAGGAAGAAAAUGACAGUACUAUACGAAUAAGGUCCGGCUAAUUACGUG
RNAcentral lists this ribosomal RNA (477 nucleotides) under uncultured bacterium. RNAcentral's name for it is "partial 16S ribosomal RNA". It matches the Rfam family "Bacterial small subunit ribosomal RNA", at positions 28 to 507 of the family's 1533-position model. The record is from RNAcentral.